Cucurbita maxima (winter squash) is the source of this 144-nucleotide long non-coding RNA. RefSeq lists it as uncharacterized. The transcript has 2 exons. The record is from RefSeq and is a predicted model, not a curated record. Lineage: Eukaryota; Viridiplantae; Streptophyta; Magnoliopsida; Cucurbitales; Cucurbitaceae.
GACGAAAGUCCAAGCUAAUUUAGGGAAUGGUCAUAGGUUUAUCAUCAAGGAAUACUUUUUCUAUUGGUAUGAUGUUUUUUGGGAAGCUCAAACCAAAGCGAUGAGAGCUUAUGCUCAAAAUGGACAAUAUCAUAUCAUUGUGGA